GACGAACGCUGGCGGCGUGCCUAAUACAUGCAAGUCGAACGCUUCUUUCCUCCCGAGUGCUUGCACUCAAUUGGAAAGAGGAGUGGCGGACGGGUGAGUAACACGUGGGUAACCUACCCAUCAGAGGGGGAUAACACUUGGAAACAGGUGCUAAUACCGCAUAACAGUUUAUGCUGCAUGGCAUAAGAGUGAAAGGCGCUUUCGGGUGUCGCUGAUGGAUGGACCCGCGGUGCAUUAGCUAGUUGGUGAGGUAACGGCUCACCAAGGCCACGAUGCAUAGCCGACCUGAGAGGGUGAUCGGCCACACUGGGACUGAGACACGGCCCAGACUCCUACGGGAGGCAGCAGUAGGGAAUCUUCGGCAAUGGACGAAAGUCUGACCGAGCAACGCCGCGUGAGUGAAGAAGGUUUUCGGAUCGUAAAACUCUGUUGUUAGAGAAGAACAAGGACGUUAGUAACUGAACGUCCCCUGACGGUAUCUAACCAGAAAGCCACGGCUAACUACGUG
This 508-nucleotide ribosomal RNA is filed under the name uncultured bacterium. Its description in RNAcentral is "partial 16S ribosomal RNA". It matches the Rfam family "Bacterial small subunit ribosomal RNA", at positions 28 to 507 of the family's 1533-position model. The record is from RNAcentral.